GUCUACCUUUUAAAAAAAGUUUCUACUUUCCCUAAACAAUUUGAAGUGGCCUUUUAAAUGUUUAUAAUUAACAGCCAAUCCUUAAUAAAAAGGCUUAAAAGCUCAUCAUACAAAUAUGACACCUUUUCUAGUUCACAAAACAGCACGCAAAAUAUGUCGCAAAGAAUUGUAACCUUUGAAAUUGUUGUUGCGCACUAAAACCCCC
RNAcentral lists this long non-coding RNA (205 nucleotides) under Mytilus galloprovincialis (Mediterranean mussel). The record is from RNAcentral. Lineage: Eukaryota; Metazoa; Mollusca; Bivalvia; Mytilida; Mytilidae.